This 327-nucleotide ribosomal RNA is filed under the name uncultured eukaryote. Its description in RNAcentral is "partial 18S ribosomal RNA". It matches the Rfam family "Eukaryotic small subunit ribosomal RNA", at positions 1470 to 1796 of the family's 1831-position model. The record is from RNAcentral.
CCCUUAGAUGUUCUGGGCUGCACGCGCGCUACACUGACGAAUGCAACGAGCUUAUAACCUUGGCCGAAAGGUCUGGGUAAUCUCCAAAUUUCGUCGUGAUGGGGAUAGAUUAUUGCAAUUAUUAAUCUUCAACGAGGAAUGCCUAGUAAGCGCAAGUCAUCAGCUUGCGUUGAUUACGUCCCUGCCCUUUGUACACACCGCCCGUCGCUCCUACCGAUUGAAUGGUCCGGUGAAGCGUUCGGACCGCUUCCUUUGGACGGGCAACCGUCUGUUGGUCGUGGGAAGUUCGUUAAACCUUAUCAUUUAGAGGAAGGAGAAGUCGUAACA